UGAGAAUAUCUGAAAUGAUGAGUCGCACA
RNAcentral lists this non-coding RNA (29 nucleotides) under Mus musculus (house mouse). Lineage: Eukaryota; Metazoa; Chordata; Mammalia; Rodentia; Muridae. The record is from RNAcentral.